CAGGAUGAACGCUGGCGGCGUGCUUAACACAUGCAAGUCGAACGAAGCAGCUUUCUGCUGCAAGAAAGUUGACUUAGUGGCGGACGGGUGAGUAACGCGUGGGUAACCUGCCUCAUACAGGGGGAUAACAGUUGGAAACGACUGCUAAGACCGCAUAACCCGCUAGUGUCGCAUGACACGGACGGAAAAUAUUUAUAGGUAUGAGAUGGGCCCGCGUCUGAUUAGCUAGUUGGUAAGGUAACGGCUUACCAAGGCGACGAUCAGUAGCCGACUUGAGAGAGUGAUCGGCCACAUUGGGACUGAGACACGGCCCAAACUCCUACGGGAGGCAGCAGUGGGGAAUAUUGGACAAUGGGGGGAAACCCUGAUCCAGCGAACCGCCGCGUGAGUGAAGAAGUAUUUCGGUAUGUAAAGCUCUAUCAGCAGGGAAGAUAAUGACAGUACCUGACUAAGAAGCCCCGGCUAACUACGUGCCAGCCGCAGC
Molecule: ribosomal RNA, 484 nt
Filed under: uncultured bacterium
Lineage: Bacteria
Description: bacterial SSU rRNA
Rfam family: Bacterial small subunit ribosomal RNA
Source: RNAcentral